RNAcentral lists this ribosomal RNA (253 nucleotides) under uncultured bacterium. RNAcentral describes it as "partial 16S ribosomal RNA". It matches the Rfam family "Bacterial small subunit ribosomal RNA", at positions 524 to 776 of the family's 1533-position model. The record is from RNAcentral.
UACGGAGGGUGCAAGCGUUAUCCGGAUUCACUGGGUUUAAAGGGUGCGUAGGCGGGCAGGUAAGUCAGUGGUGAAAUCUUUGGGCUUAACCCGAAAACUGCCAUUGAUACUAUCUGUCUUGAAUAUUGUGGAGGUUUGCGGAAUAUGUCAUGUAGCGGUGAAAUGCUUAGAUAUGACAUAGAACACCUAUUGCGAAGGCAGCAAACUACGCAUAUAUUGACGCUGAGGCGCGAAAGCGUGGGGAUCAAACAGG